UUUGUUAUUCAGGUUAAAGUGGGAAGGAGCAGCGGGUCUGACGGGCAGCUUGAGUGAAGUGGAGCCUGCGGAGGAAGUACCGGGACUGUCAGGGUGAAACAAUCCUGGAGGGAAGCACAAUCACAAAGAAACUGGCAUCUUUCUAAAAGGCAGAUCCACCAGCCAUCAGUCCAAAACCACCAAAGGCUUCUCAAGCCAACAUUCCACCAUCUGCCUACAGUCCAGAGGUCCAUGCCACUAAAUUUGUACCAUGUAAGCUGCGACUUGCAACAUGAGAUCAUUUCCUCUCUUGUUAAUGUUAGUAAAUUGAGUUUAGUUAUACGCUGAUCCACACUGUCAUCUGGUGUGGCAAUAGCAGCAGCAUGGUGACUGGGACUGGAUGUUCCUGCUUCAUUGAGAGCCCAGUGUCUGGGAAUCGUCUUGCUUUGGUGUAGUGGUGGGUGCUAAUGGAUUGCCUUUUUGAGGUACAUGUACGUUUACAUUUGAAUGGUUUCAUUAUGUAUCUCAUAUUAUGGGAAUCUAAUGUUAUUUGUUUCCGUGUUGUAGAGCUCCUUGAUCAUUUGUGUAUGAGGGUAUUGGGGAAAUCUGACCAAAGAUCUGCUGUACAGCUGGUGGACUUUGAGGGUUAGAUUAGUUGCUGUAGUAGUUACUGUAUUAGUGGUUUAGUUUUUUUUGUUUUUUAUUUAGCUGUUUUCUUUUGAGCCAACUCUAUAUUCCUACAAGUGGGCAUCCUGUCAGCACGAUUGAGCACACUGACCAGUGUAUAGGUUGUGAGCUCCUCCUGCACUAGGUUGUGUUGUUCUGCCCCAUAAAUCCGAUCCGGAUGCUGUUAGAUAGGGUGUGACCCUUAAUGUAUUAUAUAAUGUUGCUUUUUAUUUGUAUAUGCCACAUUAAUUUUAUCACUUUUGUGAAUAACAAUCAAUCAGAUCAUUGUUGAAUGAUCAAAUAGUUGAUUACACCAUGUUCUGCUUUCACAAACUCUUAUUUUCACUAAGGUGUUUAGUUUAUUUGACAUGAGAAGGGAGACAAAAAAAUCCCACAUGACUACAGAAUCUCAAGGAUGACACAAUGAAGUCCAAGAUUUCCCAUUGUGAUCCAUGUUAAGAAAGAAAAUAGAUGUCUGUGUGUGGUCAUGACAAACACAUAACAAUCAUGUUGAUGUUUUUUUGUACAUCAGAUACAAUAA
Long non-coding RNA from Thunnus maccoyii (southern bluefin tuna), 1186 nucleotides. RefSeq lists it as uncharacterized. The transcript has 3 exons. The record is from RefSeq and is a predicted model, not a curated record. NCBI's taxonomy places the organism in Eukaryota, Metazoa, Chordata, Actinopteri, Scombriformes, Scombridae.